Mastomys coucha (southern multimammate mouse) is the source of this 1587-nucleotide long non-coding RNA. RefSeq lists it as uncharacterized. The record is from RefSeq and is a predicted model, not a curated record. NCBI's taxonomy places the organism in Eukaryota, Metazoa, Chordata, Mammalia, Rodentia, Muridae. The transcript is spliced from 5 exons.
GCGGACCUCGCAGGAGGGGGGUGGGGUGCAAGCCAAUGAGCGCCCGGGGGCGGGGUUAGGCCCGGGGCAGAGAUGGGGAGCUGGAUGAGGACCACCGUGCUGACACAAGCCAGAGCUGCGGCAGAGACCCAGGGCGCGGAGGCGGAGGUCAAUUCUGGGCCACCCUCGUUGUGUGUCCUUCUGAGGAAUCUUCAAGGAAGAAGAGGGAAGGAGAAAGAACUUGAGCCUUUUGUUAGCAAGGUCAGUCUAGCUGAAGACCAAAGGACCGGGGCACAGAGAAGAAUCAUGAAUGGGAACCAGAAAGAACCCUAACUGGCAGCCGGCUAUGCAGAAAGAAGUGAGACAUUCAUAUAAACCCGCCUUUCUUCCCUUUGCCUCACAGCCUAUGGCCUGAAGGAUUCUUUUCGUAUCCCUACAUCCCUUGCUCCAUCUUCUUCACACCUGGAAUUUGUACACAGCCUCAUCAGUCGCAGAAGGGGAGAGAUGUGCAAGAAGAGUCAAAGAUGCUCAGCUACCUCCCCGACCCCUGUCCUUCUCUUCGGGUUCCUGGGGAAAUCAGCCCUGGAUCGGUUUCAUCCUGGCAUGGCUACCACAGAGAAAGAGGUGUUUGCAAUUAUUCUUAAUUAGCCUGACUGACCAUCUCUGUCACCAGGCUGUCUCUUUAAGCUGCUUCUUUGUGUUUUGAGGACACUUCUAAAUAAUGAGGAAACUCGUCUGCGGUGGCCUGGAGGGAAAGGUCGCAGAAGGAUGCUGGCCAGGGGUGAGCUGAGACAUCUUUAUAUGAACCCAGUCACAGUACCUCUUAGAGCCUGCUGCUUCUACUAGGUCCCCAGUGGGAAGCCUCCCUCCAGCUUCAGGCAUAGGUGCUAGCUCCAUCAUCCUUAUUGCUGGAAGGAGCCACCAGUCCACCCCCUAAGGGAUCCAUCUGCUUAGAGCCCCUUCUUCAGAUCUCUACAUGCAUUACCUUCCUCAGUCUUGUUCACAUGCCACUGAUACCAUGAACCCUGUCAUCUCUCCUGCUUCACUGAAGCAAACAGUACUGGCAAGGCAGAGAUUUCAGAACUGGGUUCUGAACUAGCCUUCUGGGUUCAAACUGCCAUUUUGACACACUUAUUUAACUUUCUGUGCCUCCAUUGCCUCACCCGGAAAGCAGAGCUAAAUAACAGCAUUGGGUACUUAUGAUUGUUGGGAAAAUGUGUGUGUGGGUGUGUAUGUGUAUGUGUGUAUCUGUGUGUCUAUAUGUGUCUGUGUGUCUUAGAGAGAUGUAUGAUGCUUAGCAUGGGGUAAACAUGUAAAAAAAAGUCAGGUUUUCCUUGCUUACUAAUUUUCAUUUUUCAUAUUGUUUUGAUCAAUUUGUUUGCUUUAAUUUGUUUGUUUGCUUGCUUGCUUGCUUUUGGCAGGCUUUCCCUACUUAGCCCAGGCUAGACCAAAGAUCCCUUCCUUCCUGGCAGUGCUAGGGUUAAUGUGCAGCCACACCAGUGUUGCCCUUUUCUUCCUCAGCCUUCUCUGUGCAUGCCCUGUACACUACCUGUCUCCCCUAGGCCAACACACACUGCCUGAGGACCAAGUCUUUCUUCACUUGUUGCU